CCAUGNGUAGCGGUGAAAUGCGUAGAUAUAUGGAGGAACACCNGUGGCGAAAGCGGCUCUCUGGUCUGUCACNGACGCUGAGGCUCGAGAGCGUGGGUAGCGANCAGGAUUAGAUACCCUGGUAGUCCACGCCGUAAACGAUGAGUGCUAGGUGUUAGGCCCUUUCCGGGGCUUAGUGCCGGAGCUAACGCAAUAAGCACUCCGCCUGGGGAGUACGACCGCAAGGUUGAAACUCAAAGGAAUUGACGGGGGCCCGCACAAGCGGUGGAGCAUGUGGUUUAAUUCGAAGCAACGCGAAGANCCUUACCAGGUCUUGACAUCCCGAUGCUAUUCUUAGAGAUAGGAAGUUACUUCGGUACAUCGGAGACAGGUGGUGCAUGGUUGUCGUCAGCUCGUGUCGUGAGAUGUUGGGUUAAGUCCCGCAACGAGCGCAACCCUUAUUGUUAGUUGCCAUCAUUAAGUUGGGCACUCUAGCGAGACUGCCGGUAAUAAACCGGAGGAAGGUGGGGAUGACGUCAAAUCAUCAUGCCCCUUAUGACCUGGGCUACACACGUGCUACAAUGGUCGGUACAACGAGUUGCGAGCCGGUGACGGCAAGCUAAUCUCUGAAAGUCGAUCUCAGUUCGGAUUGGAGGCUGCAACUCGCCUCCAUGAAGUCGGAAUCGCUAGUAAUCGCGGAUCAGCACGCCGCGGUGAAUACGUUCCCGGGCCUUGUACACACCGCCCGUCACACCACGAGAGUUUGUAACACC
RNAcentral lists this ribosomal RNA (752 nucleotides) under uncultured bacterium. RNAcentral's name for it is "bacterial SSU rRNA". It matches the Rfam family "Bacterial small subunit ribosomal RNA", at positions 669 to 1421 of the family's 1533-position model. The record is from RNAcentral.